Esox lucius (northern pike) is the source of this 1074-nucleotide long non-coding RNA. The record is from Ensembl. NCBI's taxonomy places the organism in Eukaryota, Metazoa, Chordata, Actinopteri, Esociformes, Esocidae.
CCUCUCAGUAUCUCUGCUAAUCCAUGCUCCUAAGCAAUUAAAAUGGUUUGCCCUCCGCCAUACAUUAGGAAACAACUGUAUAGUUACAAUUGAAGACCACCAUCUACUAAAGGUAUACUAAACCAGGCAACUGACUUAAUAGUCUUUUUUGUCAAAGACUGAAUUGUGCUUGGAGAUAUAACGUUGACUGGGAAACAGGAUUCAGAUAGUAUAGAAGAGUUCUGUGUUGAGCUAAACCUUACCCAGCUGAUCACUAAGCCAAAAGACCAAAGUUAAAGCUGCCUAAACAUUCAACAUUGAUGGACUAUAUAUAUAUUGACAAAUCUACACCAUAGAUAUUUGUUAAGGGGUGUAUUACCACUAGAUAUUAGUGCCCACUGCUCUAUUGUGUGCAUCAGAGGUAGUCAGCAUGCCGAGGUACAGCUAGAGCAAUUCACUACUGCUUUCAUUGCAGAUAGGCAUGCUCCAUAUACAAGAGUUAGAAAAGAGAAAGGAGAAGAACAGAUUGAACCACUUGCUCUCUCAUGAUAUCUGAUGCCACUCAUAAAAUAAAUGUAGCACAGGUUAAUGCUAGAUAAACAGCUCCAAGUUCUGACUGGCAGACUUCUAAACAGUUGAGAAAUCUAUAUAAAAUCUCAAUAAUAUAUAAAUACAUUACCUGAUUGCAAGGGGAAUCCAGACAAAUUCUGGAUAGCCGUAAAAAGCCUGAAGAGCAGUUCCUACACCUCGUUGCCAAGACAAAUUGUUGUUCACUCUGGGCUCAUUACUGAUAAGAAAGCCAUUGUUCAAGACUUAAUGACCACUUCACUGCAGCAGGCCAUAUAAGAGAGAACUGCCAUAAUUCCCCUCACGUAAACAAAAAAAGAAGUGAUGAUUAACAAGCAUAAAUAAAUAACCAAGGUUUUUCGGUGUCACCGUUCAUGGUAAAAGACGGAUUUAAUGUUUCGGUAGUGACACCAAGAAAGCUUUGACAGACAUGACCCAGGUCUGCUAGGCCGAGAAGGCAGUUUGACCUUACGAAAGGCCAUUUCAACACCAACCGUAAUAACCUGAACACUGGAUAAACGGGCGUGG